GUGAAUCAUCAAAUCUUUGAACGCAAAUUGCACUCUCUGGUAUUCCAUAUAGUAUGCCUGUUUUAGGUUCAUUUUAAAUAAAAAUCGGUGUGGUUGCUGCCCUUCGUGGUGACUCACCGGAUUUGGGUCUGCUUGCAUUCGGUUAAGUGACCUUAAAUUGUACAUGCUUUUUUCUAACGUAUUUAAAUGAUUUUACGUACGUUUGCGAUAGCGAAUACUGGAUGCUGUCACCCUCAUGAUCC
Molecule: unclassified non-coding RNA, 242 nt
Filed under: Glomus sp.
Lineage: Eukaryota; Fungi; Glomeromycota; Glomeromycetes; Glomerales; Glomeraceae
Description: partial internal transcribed spacer 2
Rfam family: 5.8S ribosomal RNA (bases 1-71)
Source: RNAcentral